ACGCGGCAAUUGGAGGUCCCACCGAGAUCCGGAAAGCAGGGGAGCUGAUAAGCCCAUCUGGAUCCCAGAGCGCUGUGUUAAACCCGUGCAACAAAGGGAAGAAGUGGUUGACUUUCAAAAUGAUUCUCCCGGGAUGGCUCCUGGUUUUGCUGUUCCUUCUAACAAUGAUUUAAUGAUUCCAGAAAUGCUUCUCGCAUCAUCGGAGAAUACCUGUCCGGAACCUGGUCCUUGGAAGCAGAAAACUUGAUCCAGUCUCAACUGACUCAGAUUGCUGUUUUGAAUAGUACCCGUG
This is a long non-coding RNA of Marmota flaviventris (yellow-bellied marmot), 292 nucleotides long. RefSeq lists it as uncharacterized. The record is from RefSeq and is a predicted model, not a curated record. Lineage: Eukaryota; Metazoa; Chordata; Mammalia; Rodentia; Sciuridae.